RNAcentral lists this ribosomal RNA (279 nucleotides) under uncultured bacterium. RNAcentral describes it as "partial 16S ribosomal RNA". It matches the Rfam family "Bacterial small subunit ribosomal RNA", at positions 506 to 784 of the family's 1533-position model. The record is from RNAcentral.
UGCCAGCAGCCGCGGUAAUACAGAGGGUGCAAGCGUUGUUCGGAUUUAUUGGGCGUAAAGCGCGCGUAGGCGGUUUCAUAAGUCGGAUGUGAAAGCCCGGGGCCCAACCUCGGAAGUGCAUUCGAAACUGUGGAACUUGAGUCCUGGAGAGGGUGGUGGAAUUCCUGGUGUAGAGGUGAAAUUCGUAGAUAUCAGGAGGAACACCCGUGGCGAAGGCGGCCACCUGGACAGUGACUGACGCUGAGGCGCGAAAGCGUGGGGAGCAAACAGGAUUAGAUA